Molecule: ribosomal RNA, 253 nt
Filed under: uncultured bacterium
Lineage: Bacteria
Description: partial 16S ribosomal RNA
Rfam family: Bacterial small subunit ribosomal RNA
Source: RNAcentral
UACGUAGGGUGCAAGCGUUGUCCGGAAUUAUUGGGCGUAAAGAGCUCGUAGGCGGUCUGUCGCGUCGGCUGUGAAAACCCGAGGCUCAACCUCGGGCCUGCAGUCGAUACGGGCAGACUAGAGUGCUGUAGGGGAGACUGGAAUUCCUGGUGUAGCGGUGAAAUGCGCAGAUAUCAGGAGGAACACCGGUGGCGAAGGCGGGUCUCUGGGCAGUAACUGACGCUGAGGAGCGAAAGCGUGGGGAGCAAACAGG